CAGUAGCCACGGUAAUACGAAGGGUGCAAGCGUUAAUCGGAAUUACUGGGCGUAAAGCGCACGCAGGCGGUUUGUUAAGUCAGAUGUGAAAUCCCCGAGCUUAACUUGGGAACUGCAUUUGAAACUGGCAAGCUAGAGUCUUGUAGAGGGGGGUAGAAUUCCAGGUGUAGCGGUGAAGUGCGUAGAGAUCUGGAGGAAUACCGGUGGCGAAGGCGACUAUCUGGGCCAACACUGACACUGAGACACGAAAGCGUGGGGAGCAAACAGGAUUAGAUACCCGUGUAGUCCCUGUCUCUUAUAC
Molecule: ribosomal RNA, 301 nt
Filed under: uncultured bacterium
Lineage: Bacteria
Description: partial 16S ribosomal RNA
Rfam family: Bacterial small subunit ribosomal RNA
Source: RNAcentral